AGUGAACGCUGGCGGUAGGCCUAACACAUGCAAGUCGAACGGCAGCACAGUAAGAGCUUGCUCUUACGGGUGGCGAGUGGCGGACGGGUGAGGAAUACAUCGGAAUCUACUUUUUCGUGGGGGAUAACGUAGGGAAACUUACUCUAAUACCGCAUACGACCUACGGGUGAAAGCAGGGGAUCUUCGGACCUUGCGCGAUUGAAUGAGCCGCUGUCGGGUUAGCUAGUUGGCGGGGUAAAGGCCCACCAAGUCGAGGAUACGUAGCUGGUCUGAGAGGAUGGUCAGCCACCCUGGAACUGAAACACGGUCCAGACUCCUACGGGAGGGAGCAGUGGGGAAUAUUGGACAAUGGGCGCAAGCCUGAUCCAGCCAUACCGCGUGGGUGAAGAAGGCCUUCGGGUUGUAAAGCCCUUUUGUUGGGAAAGAAAAGCAGCAGGUUAAUACCCCGCUGUUCUGACGGUACCCAAAGAAUAAGCACCGGCUAACUUCGUG
RNAcentral lists this ribosomal RNA (492 nucleotides) under uncultured bacterium. RNAcentral describes it as "partial 16S ribosomal RNA". It matches the Rfam family "Bacterial small subunit ribosomal RNA", at positions 29 to 507 of the family's 1533-position model. The record is from RNAcentral.